RNA transcript from Ictalurus punctatus (channel catfish), 4983 nucleotides. It is a transcript of the gene named zinc finger protein 883, with no coding region annotated. The transcript is spliced from 15 exons. The record is from RefSeq and is a predicted model, not a curated record. Lineage: Eukaryota; Metazoa; Chordata; Actinopteri; Siluriformes; Ictaluridae.
CCGAUAACUGCUUCUCCAGCCGCCAGAAGACACAGAAGAAGACUGUUUUCUUCUGUGACAACUGCUAUCUGACCAAGCUAAUCAUUUCAACGUUACAAUAUUUCAUAGUUAGAACAGAUUGUGUUAAAAAUAAAAGCUGGUGGCAGUGUCGGAUUUUGAAGUUGUAAAACGCCGUUCUGCUUCAAAACCUGAGAGGUGUUAUAAUGAGAUCAGCAGGAGACAGACCACGCUCCUCCAGGAAGUCUCGAGCUCCUGAUCCUGCUCCUUCACAGCUGUCUGAGGAGGUGACGGAGACUUCAGCUGCAGGGACAUCAGGCAAAGUGGACCAGCAGAAUAGAGGAGUCCAUCUAAAGCCAACACCUGACGGCGGUGUGAAGAAAGAGGAGUCGCUGGAGCUGAACGGCUACAACCAUAAAGAUGACCUGAACAACACACCUGACGUUAUCUCCAUAAAAGUGGAAGAAGAUGACACUGAAGACUACCUCUACUGUGAGGUUUGCAAAUCCUUCUUCUUCAACAAGUGUGAGGUUCAUGGACCGCCCCUCUUCAUCCCUGACACUCCUGUUCCCAUGGGAGUCCCUGACCGAGCCAGACAAACUCUUCCUCGUGGACUAGAGAUUCGGAAGUCCGGUAUUCCUGAUGCAGGUCUGGGAGUGUUUAAUAAGGGGGAGACUGUUCCAGUAAGUGCAUACUUCGGACCCUACCAAGGAGAGCUGGUAGACAGUGAGGAAGCCAGUGGAUACUCCUGGGUGAUAUACAGGAGCAGCCAGUGUCAAGAAUACAUAGAUGCCAAAAGAGAGAUGUAUGCUAACUGGAUGAGGUAUGUGAAUUGUGUUCGUAAUGGUGAAGAGCAGAAUCUUGUGGCGUUUCAGUAUCAAGGAGGGAUUCUGUAUCGUUGCUGUCGACCCAUUGACCCAGGACAGGAGCUCCUGGUGUGGUACGACGAGGAGUACCCUAAAGAUCUCGGCUCUACGUUUGACUCACUCUGGAACAAAAAGUGCUCUGCAAAUGUCUUCUCAACUUGCACCAUGUCGGAUCUCUUGUGCAUCUUGGAUCUAUGUGACCUAUGGUCAGAUCUACAGGUAACCUGUCCUCUAAAGCUGGUGAUAGAUUGCCAUCAUCUAUUCAUGGCUGUGGAUCAGUGCCUUGUUCAUGAUAUGGCUGCGUCACACACACUGAUGAUGAGAACCACAGGAGAGAAUAACAUGGUUUCUUGCAGGUCUGCCCCUACACACCAUCUGAGCCCUGCAAAUGAUCCAGAAUUGAUCCAGCUGGACAAAUGUUGUUCAACCUGUCCAAGUUCUCCAUCACCCCAUUGUUGCGUUCCCUUCACUGGCUUCCUGUAGCUCCUGCAUCAGAUUUAAACACCGAUGUUCACCUACAAAGCAGCUCCCACUUACCUUAAAGCAAGUCUGCACCAUGCUCCCUCCGAGCCACCCAACAUCUCUCAGGGUAUGAGUAAAAUCUACAUCAACACCCUUCUCUAUCCUGCACCCAGGUGGAGAAAUAAACUUCCCCUGGCUGACUGAACAGCUGUAAGUGAAUUUAAUGCAAUUGAUUCUAUAAUGUCCUCUAUUUAAACCAGUAAUGCAUAUAAACAGCAUAUGAUCAUGUGUGACACAAACCCACCAAGUCACUCGUCUCAAGUUUCUGGCCAUCUAGAGUUUUGCCAUGUUCGAAACAAAAAAUAUAGCAUUACAAAUGUCACCCAGAGAAUGUAAUCCCUUCUGGAUAGGGCUCUAGGCACAUGGUUUUCAUUUAAUGUCACCAAUACACACUGCCUGGCUAUCAUUAGUUAAAUGUAAAUAAAUAAUCACAUAUUUGCGUUAAUGAAAAGAAAUGAAUUGAUAUAGUCUCAGUUUAAUUCAGAGACUAAAAUAUUUUGUUUGUAUUUGUAAUAUUUCACUUAAAGAUUAAUUACACCCAAAGCCUAUUUUUAAAAUGACUUGUGUAAGAAUAAAUAAUGUUAUUAGAGUUUCUAGAACAUCAUGUAUCAUAUCUAAACUGUUAAAAGAACAUAAGAAUUGUCUUUAGCUCAGAGUGUGCUGUGCCUCCUCUCACUGAAAUACUGAAAUGGGCAUGAAAUACUUGUAGAAUCACAAUUUUUGUGGCUUUAAUUUUGUAAAUAAUUUUUCAAACGAUAUUUAUUUUUUUCCACGCUUCAAUAUAACGGACUAAUUAGUGUACAUUCAUGAUAUAAAACUUUUAACCCUACAAUAUGUUAGAUUUGUGUUAGUCCUGACCUGGUCAUUAAAAAUAAUUCAUGUUUUUAGUGUUGCAGGUUCCCAAACCUGCCCUGAUGAGGUUGUAUCCAUAACAGUUCAGUAUGAUGAGUUUCUUUGCGCUGUAUAACUCUAAUAAUGAAAACUGGACAAUCUUUCUUUCUCCAAUUACACACUAAAGACAACUUGAUAAACAUUUCCAGUCCUCCAUUUUUUUUCUGUCGUGCCCCAUCCAUCUCAGAUUUCCAUCCACUCUGUUUUGUAAAGUAGGGAAAGUAGGAGGAGGUGUUUACAAUAAGUCAACAAGUCUAAAAGAAGAUAAAUAGUAAAUCAGUUUGUCAGAUACUACAGAACGUCUCUGUAGGAAACUGAAGUCUAUAAACACUGAUAUUUUACCUCCUUCACAUUUCAGUGAGUUCCCCAACAACACAUCAGUGAUGGAGCAGCGUCUGUUCAUACUCCUGUUUUUCACAGGAUUCACCCCGCUCGUCCUUUCUGUUCCUCGUAAGUACUAUCUGAUCCAGCAGCAGAAAACAUGGAGUGAGGCUCAGGCUUACUGCCGAGCCACACACGAUGACCUGGCUAUCAUAGAAAGUAAUGAUAACAUGGUCCGACUUCAGAAUGAAGCACAGAGACAACAUUUCAGUUCUAGUGCUUGGAUUGGACUGUACGAUGCCGUCAAUAGCUGGCGCUGGUCCAUGGGAAAUGAGACACUGGGAAGCAUGAGACUGUGGUCUUCACCAGAGCCCAACAACUAUGCUGGAAUAGAAUCUUGUGGUCUGAUGUAUUCAACGGGUUGGAAUGAUAUGCCAUGUACAUUGAGAUAUCCCUUUGUGUGCUUUGAUGGCAAUAAAACUGGAAAUCAAAGUUACAUUUACAUCUCUUAUGCACGAUCAUGGCCUGAUGCUCAGCGUUACUGCAGACAGUAUCAUACAGAUCUGGCCAGCAUUAGAAAUUCAACAGAAAACUCAAUUAUACUGGGCCUGAUCUCUGGGGCCAUUUGGUUUGGUCUGUUCAGAGACACCUGGAAGUGGACAGACCAAACCACCUUCUCUACCAUUAGCUGGAUGCCUGGAAAACCUGAUAAUGCCCUGAAGAAUGAAGCCUGUGGUUAUUUAAAUAACGGUCAGGUUGCUGAUGCACAGUGCUCAGCUAUAAUGCCUUUCUUCUGUCACUCAGCAAUAACGGGAAGAAGACAAAUCUUAAGGAUGAAAGUGCAGUCCAAUCAGGAUGUCAGUGAUCCUGCACUAAAGGUGGCCAUCUUUGAUCAGAUCAAUCAGAAACUGCAGGACCAUGUAAUGGCAGAGAACAUCACAGUGAAAUGGAGAGAGCAAGCAGACGGAAAGGUGUUUCACGAGGAAAAAGAAGAGCUCUAAGGCUUUAUCUGUGUCUCGAAUCAUGUAAUUCUCUAGUGCUCUAGUUAUUUUAGGUUGAAUAAUAUGUUCACUCUGGGGAAAUUUCUUGAGAGGUAGUCUUCUAUUUUUCAUUUAGUUGUCUGGGAUUAUUCUUUACACCAAAUUAAGUCAAUCAAUGGAGAUGCUUUUUUCUUUUUCUUUUGCAGAUACAAUGCUGUUGUAGCUCACAUGUAAUGAAAGUCUAUCUAGCUCAAUGUACACCCAUUACUUUACAUAUUCACAUCAAAUGACAUGCAUAACAAUUUUAAGUUUCAUUAUCUUGUAUAUGUUUUUUAUUGCUUUCCUCAUCAUAACUAUUAACGAGCCCUUUCUAUUCCUGAUGAAGUAGACUCCAUGAUGUAAAUAUAAGUGAACAAUGUGCAGGUCAUUUCCCUCUGAGCUACAUCUGCAGAGGUUCUAUUCUGUUUCUCUCAUCACCACUUAUCACUAAAACUCUGAUGUUUUGUUGCUCUGAAACAAUCUCUACUGUAAAAAGCUCUAAAAAUACUAUUCAAUUGACAGCUUCUGUAUUCAUCAUGAUAAACAUGUUAUUGCAUGGACAGAGUAUAACAUCAAAUGUCUCAUCAAAUAAUACUUUACACUUUUCUGUAUCUUAACUAUACAAAAAAAAAAAUCUGGUUUAACUAGGUCUUUUUUUCAAAACAAGUUUUUUUUAUGAAAAUCAGUUGACAAUGGAAAUUUUAGCUGAUUUUGGGAGCAAAAACCUGCAGCCAAUAUGCACGGUUCCUUGAAAGUGUGAGAAAGGAGCUGAAAACUACCAACUCUGAUUGACCUUUUCUUCUUAAUACUAUAGCUUAUAGGAUUGUACUGAUGCAGAAAAUGUCAAAUACAGCACGUUUAAUUCUUUAUUCUGCAACAUACAUGUAACAACAAUAUAGGCUUUGUUUAUAAUCAUUUAAUUAACAGACAAAACAACUUACUGUUAUUGGGUUAUAAGCACUGUAUAGCAUUUAAAUAUAGAAAAAGAAACAUAACUUUUGAGUCCUGUGUUUUUAUUAAGACGAUCAUUUAGGUUAAUUAAACUGGAUGAUAAAGAAGCUGCUUGUUCUUAAGGGGGGGGAAAGGACACCUUAUAGGGACUGUAAUUCUACCUGAGAAAUGCUCAUUGUUUAUUGAUCCAAACUGGGGCCAGGACUGCAUGUAUAAAACUGCUCAUCAUAAAUAGCAAAACAUUAUUAGAAGUCUUACAAAAUUUUGCAAACAUAAGCUAGAGUUUAGCACGGAUUGUGCUUUAUAUAUAGCAUACUUCUUGUGCACUUUUACUGGACCACUGUUUAGGCCACACAAAUUAUUUACUGUCAGCUGUGUUAGACGGGAACAGAAGGUGGCCACAUGCAUUUCAAUGA